AGAGUUUGAUCCUGGCUCAGGAUGAACGCUGGCGGCGUGCUUAACACAUGCAAGUCGAACGAACCUUCGGGUUAGUGGCGGACGGGUGAGUAACGCGUGGGAAUCUGCCCUCAGGAGGGGGAUAACGGUUGGAAACGGCCGCUAAUACCCCAUAUGCCGAGAGGUGAAAUGAAUUUCGCCUGAGGAUGAGCCCGCGUCUGAUUAGCUAGUUGGUGAGGUAAGAGCUCACCAAGGCAUCGAUCAGUAGCUGGUCUGAGAGGAUGAUCAGCCACACUGGGACUGAGACACGGCCCAGACUCCUACGGGAGGCAGCAGUGGGGAAUUUUCCGCAAUGGGCGAAAGCCUGACGGAGCAACGCCGCGUGAGGGAUGAAGGCCUCUGGGCUGUAAACCUCUUUUAUCAAGGAAGAAGAUCUGACGGUACUUGAUGAAUAAGCCACGGCUAAUUCCGUGCCAGCAGCCGCGGUAAUACGGGAGUGGCAAGCGUUAUCCGGAAUUAUUGGGCGUAAAGCGUCCGCAGGCGGCCCUACAAGUCUGCUGUUAAAAAGUGGAGCUUAACUCCAUCAUGGCAGUGGAAACUGUUGGGCUCGAGUGUGGUAGGGGCAGAGGGAAUUCCCGGUGUAGCGGUGAAAUGCGUAGAUAUCGGGAAGAACACCAGUGGCGAAGGCGCUCUGCUGGGCCAUCACUGACGCUCAUGGACGAAAGCCAGGGGAGCGAAAGGGAUUAGAUACCCCUGUAGUCCUGGCCGUAAACGAUGAACACUAGGUGUCGGGGGAAUCGACCCCUCCGGUGUCGUAGCCAACGCGUUAAGUGUUCCGCCUGGGGAGUACGCACGCAAGUGUGAAACUCAAAGGAAUUGACGGGGGCCCGCACAAGCGGUGGAGUAUGUGGUUUAAUUCGAUGCAACGCGAAGAACCUUACCAGGGUUUGACAUCCUGCGAAUCUCUUGGAAACUUGAGAGUGCCUUCGGGAGCGCAGUGACAGGUGGUGCAUGGCUGUCGUCAGCUCGUGUCGUGAGAUGUUGGGUUAAGUCCCGCAACGAGCGCAACCCACGUCUUUAGUUGCCAGCAUUUAGUUGGGCACUCUAGAGAGACCGCCGGUGAUAAACCGGAGGAAGGUGUGGAUGACGUCAAGUCAUCAUGCCCCUUACAUCCUGGGCUACACACGUACUACAAUGCUACGGACAAAGGGCAGCAAGUUCGCGAGGACAAGCAAAUCCCAUAAACCGUAGCUCAGUUCAGAUCGUAGGCUGCAACUCGCCUACGUGAAGGAGGAAUCGCUAGUAAUCGCAGGUCAGCAUACUGCGGUGAAUACGUUCCCGGGCCUUGUACACACCGCCCGUCACACCAUGGAAGUUGGCCACGCCCGAAGCCGUUACUCCAACCCUUGUGGAGGAGGACGUCGAAGGUGGGGCUGAUGACUGGGGUGAAGUCGUAACAAGGUAACC
Molecule: ribosomal RNA, 1446 nt
Filed under: uncultured cyanobacterium
Lineage: Bacteria; Bacillati; Cyanobacteriota
Description: bacterial SSU rRNA
Rfam family: Bacterial small subunit ribosomal RNA
Source: RNAcentral